This is a long non-coding RNA of Bubalus bubalis (water buffalo), 534 nucleotides long. RefSeq lists it as uncharacterized. The transcript has 2 exons. Lineage: Eukaryota; Metazoa; Chordata; Mammalia; Artiodactyla; Bovidae. The record is from RefSeq and is a predicted model, not a curated record.
UCAAAUCAUCCCACCCUCGUCUUCUCCCACAGAGUCCAAAAGACUGUUCUAUACAUAUGUGUCUCUUUUGCUGUCUUGCAUAUAGGAUCAUUGUUACCAUCUUUCAAGUUCUGUCCUAUAUGAUAUUUCCAGGAGAAAAAGUGGGGGUGAUUCAUCUAUAUUUCAUAAAGGCUUCCACGUCACCUUCCUCCUCUGACCACUCUUCCUCUGCAGCCCAAGGACUGAACGAGAAGGUUGUACCAACUAUCACCUCUGGGUAUUUUGGUUGUACAUGCACCGAUCAAAGAGAUGACUACUGGGUGGUCUUAGUGGACCAACUGUGAUGUGAAGCUCCACCAAGACUGCGUACAUAAUGUGGCCUCUGUAUGCAUCCCGUGUAAUGGGGAUGUCAGCAUGAUGCUGUGAAUUUCUGGGUAUCACUGUCAACCUGGAUUCUGCAUCCUACAGUCCUCUGGAUGUUGAUACACUCCCUUCUCCCUGGUUCAGAGUUAUCCCAAGUAAAUGGCCAUCGGUUCCUUUGGACCUAAACUGGAA